This 842-nucleotide long non-coding RNA is filed under the name Androctonus crassicauda. The record is from RNAcentral. Lineage: Eukaryota; Metazoa; Arthropoda; Arachnida; Scorpiones; Buthidae.
CUAGCCAAAGACCCAACCAUGGCCUUACCGAGAUCUGUAGAUAGAAUUGUGAGAGACAAGGCAUUCCCACAGGCAUGGAGACAUAAGAAGAUUGCAGACCCGGCAUGCCCAAGAUUGUUCACAUUUGUCAAAAUGCACAAGUGCCUGAUCACCGCCAGACCCAUAGUGGAAAAACAAAAAGCACCCACAUAUACAACCUGGAAAAGUGCCUAGCGAAGUAAUGCAUGAAAAUUUUAGGACAGAGUUGAUAUUCCACUACCUUGACGGAGAUGCACUGAGAAGGAUCAAAGCCAUAGAGUGGAAAGAGAAUAACAUUGCCGCCACUUAUGAUUUUCAGUCCCUGUACCCAUCAGUAAAGCUAGAACCAGUGAUGCUGGCAUUCUACAGGUUCCUUAUGGAGUAUGUACCCAUACACAGUAAUUAUGCAGUUUUCCUUUGAGAGCUCACUUCACUGAUAUGCCACAAAUCAUAUUUCUCAUUCAAAGAUGUUUCUACAAGCAGCUAAGGGGUCCAUCGGAAGCCCGAUGGCGGGCCCUCUAAUGGAAAUACUACUCUGACAGGUUGAGAAAAACGCACUGGAAGGAAUAAAGACCAACUUAAAAUCUUAUAUAAGAUAUAUCGACAACAUCCUAGUUGUGUGGGAAGAAGAAAGUGAAAUCCAAACCCUAGAGGAUCUCCUUAUGUUAGCACAGUACGGGCUGACUCUAGAUAGAACCCAAUUAAGCAAGAUAAAAGUAAACUACCUGGACAUUGAAAUAAAUCCUAACAAUGGCAGUCUAGUGACAGCGGUCUACAGAAAGCCACAAUAUCAACCCGUCAUAAUACCAAGCUGGUCUCCCGAC